AUGGCUACGUCUUGCAGAUUUCCCCUCCGGGGAGAAUUCGCGGGCAGCUUGGACCACCUAGAUCCGGUUCCUCUGGCGGGGCUCCCGAGGAUUGAUGGCACCCGCGUUGAGCCGGCUGACUCGAACGCUGGGUCUGGGUGUGGGCACCAUAUUGACAGCGCUAACCAAGGGCGCCCAGAUGCCAACGAGAUUCGCACAAUCUACCGAGAGGAAGACCAUGGCAAAGGUUUAAUGCAUCUGAUAUCUCACCGGCGGUUACAUCUAGGGAGCACGCCGCCUGAUAGAACCCCAUGCCCAUCUAGGAUGAGUGCCCUAGAGCAGUCAAUCCGCAAGUAUGCAGAGGAACCAACGAAAAGUGUAGUUCGUCCUGAAGUGGGACGGAGUUUCGACUUACUCGGCGAGGCGUACGACUUCUACAAUUUGUAUUCAUGGGAGAUUGGUUUUGGCAUAAGAGUUCUUGCUGAUAGUGAUAGCAGGGUUAAGAAUCUGAUGUGGACAAAUGGAAAUAGUCAGAUGCAGUACCGACGCUUUGGCGAUGUCGUUACAUUCGACACGAGUUGGAAUAAAAUUGAAGGGCUCCAAAUCCCUCAUGAAGCUGGCAACGUCUGGUUAUUCAUGGAUUCGUGCCUCCGGCGACGGUGCAUCUCCUCCCUCGGCAACCGGAGAACCCCCUCUGAUAACCUUCAGUCUGAAACAUGCACUGAACUUGCUCUCAUCAUCUAUGACAUGGACAAACCCACGUUCGGACCAAACUCUACAUGGAAGCAGGCGAAGUUCUCUGGGAUGACUUGCCACAGCAUAAUUCUCUCAAACAGGACAGUGAAAGCAAAGUUAAGAUGGCUAUCUGGGUCUCAUGGACAACAAAACAAUGUUGUUGAUGUUGGUGGAACUGAACUCGUGUGUCUAAGAGGUUUCCUCUUCAGCUUCAUCAAUUGCCUGGAGUGA
Molecule: ribosomal RNA, 945 nt
Filed under: Triticum aestivum (bread wheat)
Lineage: Eukaryota; Viridiplantae; Streptophyta; Magnoliopsida; Poales; Poaceae
Description: partial small subunit ribosomal RNA
Source: RNAcentral